This 99-nucleotide ribosomal RNA is filed under the name Mesorhizobium sp. RNAcentral describes it as "partial 16S ribosomal RNA". The record is from RNAcentral. Lineage: Bacteria; Pseudomonadati; Pseudomonadota; Alphaproteobacteria; Hyphomicrobiales; Phyllobacteriaceae.
UGAGCCAAGUUUAGGGUUUCUUAAAAACCCAAGCAGUAUUGAACUGAAGAGUUUGAUCAUGGCUCAGAUUGAACGCUGGCGGCAGGCCUAACACAUGCA